Molecule: ribosomal RNA, 1502 nt
Filed under: metagenome
Description: bacterial SSU rRNA
Rfam family: Bacterial small subunit ribosomal RNA
Source: RNAcentral
AGAAUUUGAUCUUGGUUCAGAUUGAAUGCUGACGGCGUGGAUGAGGCAUGCAAGUCGAACGGAUAUAAGUAGCAAUACUUAUAUUAGUGGCGAAAGGGUUAGUAAUACAUGGGUAACCUGCCCUUAACCUGGGGAUAACGGCUGGAAACGGCCGCUAAUACCGAAUGAUGUAUAGAUGGUGAUUCCUUCUAUAUGAAAGUUGGGAAACUCGCGGUUAAGGAUGGGCUCAUGCGAUAUCAGCUAGUUGGUGAGGUAAUGGCUUACCAAGGCUAAGACGUCUAGGCGGGUUGAGAGACUGACCGCCAACACUGGGACUGAGACACUGCCCAGACUCCUACGGGAGGCUGCAGUCGAGGAUUAUUCGCAAUGGGGGAAACCCUGACGAUGCGACGCCGUGUGAACGAUGAAGGCCUUCGGGUCGUAAAGUUCUUUCGCUUGAGAACAAGGUUUCAUUGUAAAUAAUGAUGAAGUCUGAGGGUAUCAGGUAAAGAAGCACUGGCUAACUCCGUGCCAGCAGCUGCGGUAAUACGGAGGGUGCAAGCAUUAAUCGGAUUUACUGGGCGUAAAGGGCGCGUAGGCGGCUUUAUAAGUCUUGUGUGAAAUUCUAUAGCUCAACUAUAGAGCGGCACAGGAAACUAUAUGGCUAGAGGCUAAAUGGAGAAAAUGGAAUUCCACAAGUAGCGGUAAAAUGCGUAGAUAUGUGGAAGAACACCAGAGGCGAAAGCGUUUUUCUAAUUUAGAGCUGACGCUGAGGCGCGAAAGCAAGGGGAGCAAACAGGAUUAGAUACCCUGGUAGUCCUUGCUGUAAACGAUGCAUACUUGAUGUAGUUGGGCUCAACCCCGACUGUGUCGAAGCAAACGCGAUAAGUAUGCCGCCUGAGGAGUACGCUCGCAAGGGUGAAACUCAAAAGAAUUGACGGGGACCCGCACAAGCAGUGGAGCAUGUGGUUUAAUUCGAUGCAACGCGAAGAACCUUACCCAGGCUUGACAUGCAGAUGAAUAGUCUAGAGAUAGGCUAGUCCGAAAGGACGUCUGCACAGGUGCUGCAUGGCUGUCGUCAGCUCGUGCCGUGAGGUGUUGGGUUAAGUCCCGCAACGAGCGCAACCCUUAUCAUUAGUUGCCAACAAGUAAAGUUGGGUACUCUAAUGAGACUGCCUGGGUUAACCAGGAGGAAGGUGAGGAUGACGUCAAGUCCGCAUGGCCCUUAUGUCUGGGGCUACACACGUGCUACAAUGGUAGGUACAGACGGCUGUGAAGCUGAAAGGUGGAGCAAAUCUGAAAAAACCUAUCUCAGUUCAGAUUGUAGUCUGCAACUCGACUACAUGAAGAUGGAAUUGCUAGUAAUGGCGUGUCAGCAACAACGCCGUGAAUACGUUCCCGGGUCUUGUACACACCGCCCGUCACAUCAUGGGAGUUGGUUUUACCCGAAAUUGCUGACCCAACCGCAAGGGGGGAGGCGCCUAAGGUGAGGCCGAUGACUGGGAUGAAGUCGAAACAAGGUA